AAGAAAAAGCUUCUUAACACACUGACCUUCAUCAUUUGUACUUGGUGAUAUCUGCAUCUAACAUAACUUGAAACUUCAGCUUUUUCCCAGCUUGAGCUAAAAAACUGACCACUGUAUACUGAUGUUAAAUGUAUCAGAAGAUUGUUUGGAAACAAGAAAUUCAGAGGACUGUAUAACAGCAUCAGUGUAGCAGAUCUCCUGUGUAUGUUUCAACCUAUUGGUCAGUGGCUGCUUAAUGGCAUCACUUGCCUGAUGCUGAAGGUCUGAUGUCAUGUUCCAAGAGCAGUCAGCAGUGCAGACUGUAGAAAUGGGAGGGUGAAUUUGGGAAGUGAAGUUGACAGGAAGCUGAUACUGUGUGGAUAAAGGAAAAU
Long non-coding RNA from Pyrgilauda ruficollis (rufous-necked snowfinch), 371 nucleotides. RefSeq lists it as uncharacterized. The record is from RefSeq and is a predicted model, not a curated record. The transcript is spliced from 3 exons. Lineage: Eukaryota; Metazoa; Chordata; Aves; Passeriformes; Passeridae.